This is a non-coding RNA of Eptesicus fuscus (big brown bat), 525 nucleotides long. The record is from the annotation of a RefSeq genome assembly. Lineage: Eukaryota; Metazoa; Chordata; Mammalia; Chiroptera; Vespertilionidae.
AUGGCCUGGACUCCUCUGCUCCUCGCGCUCCUCUCUCUCUGCACAGGGUCCCUCUCCCAGCCUGUGCUGACCCAGCCGCCCUCCCUCUCUGCAUCUCCGGGAGCCUCAGCCAGACUCACCUGCACCCUGAGCAGUGGCUCCAAUGUUGGUGAUUACUGGAUAUACUGGUACCAGCAGAAGCCAGGGAGCCGUUCCCGGUAUCUCCUGAGUUUUAGAUCAGACUCAAAUAAGCACCAGGGCUCCGGGGUCCCCAGCCGCUUCUCUGGAUCCAAAGACGCCUCGGCCAAUGCGGGGCUCCUGCUCAUCUCGGGGCUGCAGCCUGAGGACGAGGCUGACUAUUACUGCGCUACAGGUCAUAGCAGUGGCAGCAGCGACUAUUACGCACAGUGUCUCAGAGGACGAGGAAGUGAGACCAAAACCCCUGGGCCCAGCGGUGAUGACAGUCUGCCCGUGGCUUUCAGUCACAGGAGCCCACCCAGCGCCCCCUCAUCAGAGCAAAACGCCCACCUGUCCGCCAGGGAGUGA